AUACGGAGGGUGCGAGCGUUGUUCGGAAUUAUUGGGCGUAAAGAGCAUGUAGGCGGUCUGUUAAGUCUGGUGUGAAAGCCCGGGGCUCAACCCCGGAAGUGCAUUGGAUACUGGCAGACUUGAGUAUGGGAGAGGAAAGCGGAAUUCCGAGUGUAGGAGUGAAAUCCGUAGAUAUUCGGAGGAACACCAGUGGCGAAGGCGGCUUUCUGGACCAAUACUGACGCUGAGAUGCGAAAGCGUGGGGAGCGAACAGGAUUAGAUACCCGUGUAGUCC
RNAcentral lists this ribosomal RNA (274 nucleotides) under uncultured bacterium. RNAcentral's name for it is "partial 16S ribosomal RNA". It matches the Rfam family "Bacterial small subunit ribosomal RNA", at positions 523 to 796 of the family's 1533-position model. The record is from RNAcentral.